Ictidomys tridecemlineatus (thirteen-lined ground squirrel) is the source of this 416-nucleotide non-coding RNA. The record is from RefSeq and is a predicted model, not a curated record. Lineage: Eukaryota; Metazoa; Chordata; Mammalia; Rodentia; Sciuridae.
CUCCAUGGCAAUUUCUGGUGACUCUUGCAAGCUUCUGGGUAGUCCUAGUAAUGCCAGAUCCAGUUGCCCUGUUGGUCAUGUUUAAGGUGGCUGAAUAAAUGGUUGAUGAUGAGAUCUUUGAAAACCAAGAAAAUGAUCCAUCCGAUGACUACUGUUUCUUAGCACUCUUGUCUAUCAUUAUAUGCUGUCCUGUAGGCUUUCUAUCCUUAAACUAUUCUCUCAAGACAAUGCACUACAAUCAAAAUCAACAAUAUGACGAGGCAGCCGAUGCCUCUAUAAGAGCAUACUGCUGGGCCAUCGCUGGCAUUAUUUUCGGCCUGGUCCCACUACACGCGUUAUUACUCCUAUCAUUUAUGAAGUGAACGCCUUCUCUCCUCAUAAGCAAGUCAGCAAAUACAUACAACAGUGCAACUUAA